Long non-coding RNA from Rosa rugosa (rugosa rose), 1559 nucleotides. RefSeq lists it as uncharacterized. The transcript is spliced from 6 exons. The record is from RefSeq and is a predicted model, not a curated record. Lineage: Eukaryota; Viridiplantae; Streptophyta; Magnoliopsida; Rosales; Rosaceae.
UUCCUCUUCUCUUAAUCCGAGUUUCUCCGGCAUCAUCCGACACCAAAACCUAUGCAGCCAGCGAUGUCUUCAUCAUAAGCAACAAGUUAACCAAGCCUCAAUUUGGAACCCACUGCUUACCAAGAAAGGUAGUGAAGAAACGUUUGAAUGUUUGAUGGCUUUCAGGCUUGAAUUUGAAAGAUGACUCACAAAAGGGUGAACCCAGAUCAAAUCCAAUUGAGAAUUAAUCCAAUCCACGCUGAUAUUGAUGAGGAGAUCACCAGUCUUCGAUCCCAAGUCAGAAGAUUGAGAAACUGCAGCCACUUUGCCCAAAUAACAAUGGAGUUCACAUCUAUACUCUGAUCCAAUCCAAAUGGGAAAAGUUGUUCUUCAAAAGGUACCGUGUCUCAGACUCAUGGGCUUGCAAUGAUAGUUGUCAAAGACCAGUUAUAAUGUGAUACUUCAGUGCAAACUUGAGAGAGAUGCACCUUGCGUAACCGAGUUUUGGUCGAAACAAUUAGAAAGCAGUUCGAGUAGUGGUGAGAAUGUAGUACAACUCAUUACGAUGAUUAAGUAAUACUCAUUUCAUGGCUUCCUGGAAUGUUCUGCCCUCCAACUUAUAAAUUUGAAAAUGAUGUUCUGUAUGUAUAUAUCAGGGUUUCAAUGGGUACAUUUGUUUUCCCAUACUCUUGAUAUAUAAUUGUGCAUCCUUGCUAGGAGUGUCGAGAGCAAAAUAUUUAUCUCAGAUAUACUGCAUGUAUAUCAACAAUGGAAACUUGAAGCAUUGACUUCAUGAAGUCUUGCUUAUUUACACAAGGCCAUUCAACCAAAGGUGACACAUCGAAACAUUAAGCAGACGCUCCUUCUUUGCCACUAACCACUUUGUAAAGGAAUGGAAAUUUUCUGGUGGUUUACUUUGAUGAUAUCCUAAUUUUCCAAUCUCCCUUAUGCCUAGGACGUUGUCUGGGCCAAGAGCCAUAGUUGAUCAGAAAGAGUUGAUACUAACAUUGGUUUGCCAAAUCAAGUUUGAAUUCAAGAGUGAGUCCUGAAAAAAUUGAAUUCAAGGAUGCAGCUGUUGGACAGCUAAAAAAGGAAACUGACUGUAUCCUAACGGUAAUUGGAUGCAAGUGUUUUAAUUUUCAGUUGCAACAGGAUUAGUAUCAAUGCUUUGAAUUGUGAUUUUGCAGGGAGCAAGACGAUAGUGUGUCAGUGCAUUUGUGCUUAAAGGAACGAGUUUUUUUGUUGUUUGAAUACACUAAGAUCUAAUCGAUGGCCAAUUUGUUGAUUCUGCAUCAAAUUGAUCAGUCUUUCCAAAUUCACCGUAGUUAUGGAAGCAUGCUCGAGGGUGAGGCUGAUGAACUCAAGUGCGGUUUUCGAAUGAGCGGUGGGAGACCCAUCAAGAGCAGAUUAGAGGUAUAGACCAUGCUAGAAAUGUGUCUCUCAAUUUAUAUUAGAUCUGUUGUAAUGUCAAGAAAGCGUGCAGGGUUUGUUAAUUGAAUUGUAUAAGAUUAAGGAUUCAUUUCAAACAAUUCCUAUUGUUAUUAAGAGUGAGUGAAUUAAAAUGUUAUUUAUCUACAUAA